UCCGGAGGGUGCAAGCGUUAAUCGGAAUUACUGGGCGUAAAGCGCGCGUAGGUGGUUUGCUAAGCCAGCUGUGAAAUCCCCGGGCUCAACCUGGGCACUGCAGUUGGAACUGGCAAGCUAGAGUAGGGUAGAGGGGUGUGGAAUUCCAGGUGUAGCGGUGAAAUGCGUAGAUAUCUGGAGGAACAUCAGUGGCGAAGGCGAGACCCUGGACCAAUACUGACGCUGAGGCGCGAAAGCGUGGGGAGCAAACAGG
This 253-nucleotide ribosomal RNA is filed under the name uncultured bacterium. RNAcentral describes it as "partial 16S ribosomal RNA". It matches the Rfam family "Bacterial small subunit ribosomal RNA", at positions 524 to 776 of the family's 1533-position model. The record is from RNAcentral.